UUUAAUUUGAGAGUUUGAUCCUGGCUCAGGAUGAACGCUGGCGGCGUGCCUAACACAUGCAAGUCGAACGAAGCAAUCAGAAUGAAAUUUUCGGAUGGAUUUCUGGUUGACUGAGUGGCGGACGGGUGAGUAACGCGUGGAUAACCUGCCUCACACUGGGGGAUAAC
RNAcentral lists this ribosomal RNA (167 nucleotides) under Enterocloster citroniae. RNAcentral's name for it is "partial 16S ribosomal RNA". It matches the Rfam family "Bacterial small subunit ribosomal RNA", at positions 1 to 147 of the family's 1533-position model. Lineage: Bacteria; Bacillati; Bacillota; Clostridia; Lachnospirales; Lachnospiraceae. The record is from RNAcentral.